GUGGACGCGUUUGUAAUCCUGAGAUGUGAGGGCCUCAAAUAUUGCGCAAUCUUCCGAGUUUAAUCGGUAGUGGAAUUUUACGAACGAUUCCGAACAGACAGCUGUCUGCCAUUUCUAAACAUGCUUGUAUCCAUGAAAUACGAUGAACUUCUUUCAUAUUUUUAAAAAAUUAAUAUUCUUUAUUUGUUUUGCCACAGAUUUUAUGCAGUUAUUCACGGAUUUUAUGGUGUAAUUAAAAGGUGAUCUAUGUGGUUCCUGUUUUAUACUAAGAAGUACUUAUAAAAACUAUUGUUGGCUGGAAACCUGUAAUAAAUUGUCCUAGUUCUUUUUGUGAUAAAUGAAUUGUAGUGGUAUCAUCCUGAAAGAAUAAUCUAGCCCAGAAGAAGUUGGAUAAAAAUAUAAAUUACAUUACGUCUUGUAAUUGUAUUUAAAAUUGUUCGCAAUGUAAAUAAAUAAAAUCUCUAUCUUCUUAAAGUGAUCAUGACUUAUGAGUAGGAUUGUUGAUUUAAAAAAUUCUUAUGAAAAAAAAUCUACCUAUUUGAUUUAUAUCAUAUAUUUUUGUUUUGUUAAACUGAGACAUUUCUCUUAAAGUAUGCAUGGAAGGAAAAAUAUUCAACAAUUAAGAAUAUUUUCUAAUUAAGAAUUAAAUAUGUCCUUCAAUUUAUCAGAAAUUUAGUUGAUGUAAAAAAAGUUUACUUGAUGAUAAAAGCUACUGAGUUAUUUUAAUAUAUAAUUUAGUGUUACGUAUUAUAUUUCAUUUUCAAUAAUUGAUUAUUUUCAUUUAAAAUUUUUAUUUUGAUAUCUUGUCUAUUACUAAUGUGUUCUGAUAUUAAUUAUAUUAAACUUUUGAUUUGGUUAUA
Molecule: long non-coding RNA, 860 nt
Organism: Parasteatoda tepidariorum (common house spider)
Lineage: Eukaryota; Metazoa; Arthropoda; Arachnida; Araneae; Theridiidae
Source: RefSeq, a predicted model, not a curated record